This is a long non-coding RNA of Gallus gallus (chicken), 1616 nucleotides long. The record is from Ensembl. Lineage: Eukaryota; Metazoa; Chordata; Aves; Galliformes; Phasianidae.
CCCCUCAGUUGGUGGAUGAGCGCCGGGAGCCGCACAAAUGGCACCGCAAAAAGGUGGGGGGGGGGGGGGGCAAAAAUGGGGCAAAAAAGGGCGGAAAUGGGCAAAAAUGGGGCGGAAAUGGGCGGAAAUGGGCAAAAAUGGGGCAAAAUUGGGCAGAAAUGGGCAAAAAUGGGGCAGAAAUGGGGAAAAAUGGGGCAGAAAUGGGGUAAAAUUGGGCGGAAAUGGGCAAAAAUGGGGCAGAAAUGGGCGGAAAUGAGUGAAAAUGUGGCAGAAAUGGGGAAAAAUGGGGCAGAAAUGGGCAAAAAUGGGCGGAAAUGGGCAAAAAUGGGCAAAAAUGGGGCAGAAAUGGGUGAAAAUGGGGCAAAAUUGGGCGGAAAUGGGGAGAAAUGGGGAUAAAUGGGGCAAAAUUGGGCGGAAAUGGGCAAAAAUGGGGCAGAAAUGGGGCAAAAUGGGGCAGAAAUGGGCAAAAAAUGGGGCAGAAAUGGGCAAAAAUGGGGCAGAAAUGGGGCAGAAAUGGGCAAAAAUGGGGCAGAAUUGGGCGGAAAUGGGCUAAAAUGGGGCAGAAAUGGGACAGAAAUGGGCAGAAAUGGGGAAAAAUGGGGCAGAAAUGGGGCAAAAUUGGGCGGAAAUGGGCAAAAAUGGGGCAGAAAUGGGGCAAAAUUGGGCGGAAAUGGGCAAAAAUGGGGCAAAAAAGGGCGGAAAUGGGCAAAAAUGGGGCAAAAAAGGGCGGAAAUGGGUGAAAAUGGGGCAAAAAAGGGCAGAAAUAGGCAAAAAUGGGGCAGAAAUGGGGAGAAAUGGGGCAAAAAUGGGGCAGAAAUGAGCAAAAAUGUGGCAAAAUUGGGGCAAAAAAGAGCAGAAAUGGGCAAAAAUGGGGCAGAAAUGGGCAGAAAUGGGUGAAAAUGGGCAGAAAUGGGGCAAAAAUGGGGCAAAAAAGGGCAGAAAUGGGCAAAAAUGGGGAGAAAUGGGCAAAAAUGGGGCAGAAAUGGGGCAUAAAUGGGCAAAAAAUUGGGCAGAAAUGGGGCAAAAUUGGGGCAAAAAAGAGCAGAAAUGGGCAAAAAUGGGGCAGAAAUGGGUGAAAAUGGGGUAAAAUUGGGCAGAAAUGGGGCAAAAAAGGGCAGAAAUGGGCAAAAAUGGGGAGAAUUGGGCAAAAAUGGGGCAGAAAUGGGGCAUAAAUGGGCAAAAAUGGGGCAGAAAUGGGCAAAAAUGGGGCAGAAAUGGGUGAAAAUGGGGCAAAAAAAGGGUAAUUUUGGGGGUAUUUUGAGUGGGAAAAUGUCCAAUUUGGGGGAAUUUUGGGUGGAAAACAUCCAAUUUUGGGUUAUUUUUGGGGUAUUUGGAGUGGGAAAACGUCCAAUUUUGGGUUAUUUUGGCAUAUUUUGAGUAGGAAAAUGUCCAAAUUUGGGGUAUUUUGGGUGGAAAAGUCCAAUUUUGGGUUAUUUUGGGGGUAUUUUGAGUGGGAAAACAUCCAAUUUGGGGCAUAUUUUGGGGUCUUGGAGGUGAAAAUGUCCAAUUUUGGGUCUCCAUUUUGGGUUAAAAUCCACCUUAAAGGGAUUUAAAGGGGCCUUAAAGGGGUUUAAUGGGGUUUUGGGGGGCCUUAACGGGGAUUAAUGGGGUCUGGG